Molecule: ribosomal RNA, 253 nt
Filed under: uncultured bacterium
Lineage: Bacteria
Description: partial 16S ribosomal RNA
Rfam family: Bacterial small subunit ribosomal RNA
Source: RNAcentral
UACAGAGGUGGCAAGCGUUGUUCGGAAUUAUUGGGCGUAAAGAGCGUGUAGGCGGCCAAGCAGGUCCGCUGUGAAAACUCGAGGCUCAACCUCGAGACGUCGGUGGAAACCGUUUGGCUAGAGUCCGGAAGAGGAGAGUGGAAUUCCCGGUGUAGCGGUGAAAUGCGCAGAUAUCGGGAAGAACACCCGUGGCGAAGGCGGCUCUCUGGGACGGUACUGACGCUGAGACGCGAAAGCGUGGGGAGCGAACAGG